This 450-nucleotide ribosomal RNA is filed under the name Triticum aestivum (bread wheat). Its description in RNAcentral is "partial small subunit ribosomal RNA". Lineage: Eukaryota; Viridiplantae; Streptophyta; Magnoliopsida; Poales; Poaceae. The record is from RNAcentral.
CUUCCAGACGCCUCCCUGCUAAAAAAAAACAGGGACGGCGACCGCUCUUCACCGCUGCCCCUUUCUCCUCUCGGGCGUCGGCAGAUCUGCGCGGGCCGCUAUCCUCUCCUUCCAGACAGGCGACAGUCCUUCCUAGCCAUGGCUGUUAGGCACACCAUUAUUCUGAUGCAACCAUCCCAAAACAGGAGCCCCAGGACGCUCAUGGAUUAUAAUUCAAUUAACCAUGCAUUGGAUGGAAUCUGUGGUCUCUAUGAAAGGAAAAUCAGGGAUAUCAACCCAAUGAUCCCGAACAUAACCUAUGACAUCACCGACCUGUACAACUUCAUCGACGGCCUAGCUGACAUCAGUGUGCUAGUCUAUGAUCAUGAAAUCCAUGCGUUUCUGCCGUAUGACUGGCAGUGGAUAAAGCAGAAGUUGUUUCAGCACCUUAAGAAGCUGGCUCAAAGAUAG